CCCUUAGAUGUCCUGGGCCGCACGCGCGUUACACUGAUGCAUUCAACGAGCUUAUAACCUUGGCCGAGAGGCCUGGGCAAUCUUGUUAACGUGCAUCGUGAUAGGGAUAGAUUAUUGAAAUUAUUAAUCUUCAACGAGGAAUGCCUAGUAGGCGCAAGUCAUCAGCUUGCGUCGAUUACGUCCCUGCCCUUUGUACACACCGCCCGUCGCUCCUACCGAUUGGGUGUGCUGGUGAAAUGUUCGGAUCGGCCGUUUGUCGCGGUUUCCGCGUCAUGUGGCUGAGAAGUUCAUUAAACCCUCCCACCUAGAGGAAGGAGAAGUCGUAACA
RNAcentral lists this ribosomal RNA (328 nucleotides) under uncultured eukaryote. RNAcentral's name for it is "partial 18S ribosomal RNA". It matches the Rfam family "Eukaryotic small subunit ribosomal RNA", at positions 1470 to 1796 of the family's 1831-position model. The record is from RNAcentral.